Molecule: ribosomal RNA, 449 nt
Filed under: uncultured bacterium
Lineage: Bacteria
Description: bacterial SSU rRNA
Rfam family: Bacterial small subunit ribosomal RNA
Source: RNAcentral
GUCCAGACUCCUACGGGAGGCAGCAGUGGGGGAUAUUGCACAAUGGGGGAAACCCUGAUGCAGCGACGCCGCGUGGGCGAAGAAGUAUUUCGGUAUGUAAAGCCCUAUCAGCAGGGAAGAAGAAAUGACGGUACCUGAGUAAGAAGCACCAGCUAAAUACGUGCCAGCAGCCGCGGUAAUACGUAGGGGGCAAGCGUUAUCCGGAUUUACUGGGUGUAAAGGGGGCGCAGACGGCGAUGCAAGCCAGGAGUGAAAGCCCGGGGCCCAACCCCGGGACUGCUCUUGGAACUGCGUGGCUGGAGUGCAGGAGGGGCAGGCGGAAUUCCUGGUGUAGCGGUGAAAUGCGUAGAUAUCAGGAGGAACACCGGUGGCGAAGGCGGCCUGCUGGACUGCAACUGACGUUGAGGCCCGAAAGCGUGGGGAGCAAACAGGAUUAGAUACCCCUGUAA